This is a non-coding RNA of Mycena vulgaris, 98 nucleotides long. Lineage: Eukaryota; Fungi; Basidiomycota; Agaricomycetes; Agaricales; Mycenaceae. The record is from the annotation of a GenBank genome assembly.
CCCGCCUUAGCUCAGUUGGAAGAGCGUGGGACUGUAACGGUUACCUGCUUACGUAAUAAGGUAUCCCGAGGCCGCCUGUUCGAACCAGGCAGGCGGGA